UCCGGCUUAUCGCCGACAGUUUCCUUAGGGUGCUCGGCUCUCCCGUUAGCAACUAAGGACAAGGGUUGCGCUCGUUGCGGGACUUAACCCAACAUCUCACGACACGAGCUGACGACAGCCAUGCAGCACCUCUAGGGCAGUCCCCGAAGGGACGCGGGCGUCUCCGCCCGCUUCCGCCCCACUUCGAGCCCAGGUAAGGUUCUUCGCGUUGCGUCGAAUUGAACCACAUGCUCCACCGCUUGUGCGGGCCCCCGUCAAUUCCUUUGAGUUUCAGCCUUGCGGCCGUACUCCCCAGGCGGGAUACUUAAUGCGUUAGCUUCGCCACGGGGUCUACCCCCACAGCCAGUAUCCAUCGUUUAGGGCUAGGACUAC
This 372-nucleotide unclassified non-coding RNA is filed under the name uncultured Anaerolineae bacterium. Its description in RNAcentral is "contains 16S-23S intergenic spacer region". Lineage: Bacteria; Bacillati; Chloroflexota; Anaerolineae. The record is from RNAcentral.